UAACAUACUUCGUACAAUUGCCUCUCUU
RNAcentral lists this non-coding RNA (28 nucleotides) under Bombyx mori (domestic silkworm). The record is from RNAcentral. Lineage: Eukaryota; Metazoa; Arthropoda; Insecta; Lepidoptera; Bombycidae.